AAAUUAAUCGCAUCGUUUAACAUAUAUAAAUUAAAUUGUUAAAUUAUUUGAUUAACUUACUAAAAUAUACACAGUCGAUAUAGCUGAGCUCGCUUGUAUCUUCACCUGAUUCUCUGACUCAUUUACAUUUGAUCUUCCAAAAUGAACAAUGUUUAUCAUUUGACAUACGCAACAUAUCUUGAUAAAUUGUUAACUUAGUAAAUAUAUACGUAGAAGAUCUCACGUAUACUUUUACUUUAUUCUUAGAUCUAUUCACUUGUUAGUUCACUUUCCAAAAUCACUUAUACUUCUUCGUAAGCUUAUUAACUAUUUAAAGUACAGAAACUAAGUAACGUAUAUGUAGCAAAUGGCCUAAGAAAUAUCUGGCGUAUCAUAAACAAUAUUGCGGGAAGCCCUAAGUGCCGUUAGGCCAAAAAGGGCCUGGCAGUUCUGCCGGGGAGUCGAGUGGGGAGGAGUCGAGUAGAAGAGUCGUGAGUUGACAGUCGAGUGGGGGGAGUCGAGUUGUGAGGAGUGGAGAGUUGAGUUGCCGAGUUGUUAUGAGUAGUAAACUAUUACAAUAGUUGUGAGUUGUGAAUUAACUAUUUAGUUGUCUUAGUUAUAGCACAUUACUGUAUUUAGUUCACGUUAAGUAACCAUCGUUUCUUGUCUAAUCCAUUGCAAAUAGAUCUAUCGAUCAAUAAACUUAUUAUAUAGGAUAAAUAAAAAAUUCCUAUAUACAGCUUGUAUUCAGUCUUUACUUUCAUUGUUGCAUUUAUUUUCAUAUAUUUUUCCUCGAACGAAGUUCUGCUUUGUUAUUAGAUUUCUUUUUCCUAGCUUUACGUAUCUAGAAAGGAAUUUUUCAAAUUAUCGUAACAUGUUCUGCAGGUAAGAGAGAGCGUUCGAGAUCGCAUUACUAUGGUUUGAUGACCGAUGGAUAUCGGUUUUCUGAACAUACAUAGAGUUGCAGCACAAAGGGAAUGUUACUGGCGAUACCAGAGGAAUAAUAAACGGGAUACGAUUUAGCGAUAACGUUGCCUAGCACCAAAGCUGCUCGCCUCUAAACAUUUUUGAAACAUUAGACGUUUUAAUUUCUCUUUCCUCCUCUUUUUUCGCCUCUUCUCUAUACCAUGUUAAUAAGUAAACGUAUGAAUAAUAAAAAAAGAAUGUUAAUAAGUAAACAUAUGAAUAAUAAAAAAAGAACUACCAUCUCUUAAUUAUAAAGCAAAAAUAAAUGGAGAAUUCAGUAUCUAUCACACUAUAAUAUCCCAGAAUUCGUAACAAUGAUUUACGACAUUUCAAACAAUUUCUAUCAUUAUUUAAUAAUUGUUUACAUGCAAACGUGCAGUUAAUUACUUGUAUCUUAGUUAUAUUACUUAUAACUGUAUUAAAAUGUUCAUUGAAUUUUUCAGAUUUCUACUACUAAAAUAUCACAACAGACAGAAAGAAAAUAUACUUGUAAAUCGGUGUGCAAUCUAGUGAUCUAAUUACAAACUUGAAGCAAUUACUUAUCAAUUACCGAUUGUUCAUAAAAAGGCUAAUUUUCAGGAAGCUGGUUCCAUCAUUCCCCGGGCAGCUUUUUCAACUUCGUUUUCGAGUCAGCUUUUAUCGCGUUUCAACGAGAAACAACGCUACAAUUAGCAGUCGCUAAUUACCAACCGAUUAAUGACAAUACGAGCAAAUAUACAAGCGAAUAUUCGCGUUCACCAAUCGAUCCACGGAUUUAUCUAACACAGAUCUCGAUAUCCAGAAAUUUCGUUCUCACGUUCUUUUGCCUUUUCUGCUUGUCCCUUGCACCUGGCUUCAUCUCCAACGGAAAACAACCGCGGAGUAAUUAAUCGUUAACGAGCAAUAAUUAAUGACAAUAGGAAGUAUUGGUUCACAAGUGUCGUCCUCGAAUAACGAACGAUUGCUAAUUAAUGUUCAGCGUGGAGGAGUAUUGCCAUCAAGUUUCAAGAAGGCUUGUCAGUCUCGUGUGGCAUUUUCGCGGUAAGAGGGUAAUACUGGCGAACAGUUGUUGGAAUUUAGACGAUGAAACGAGCGAUAAUUAUAAACGAAGCAAGUUUCUUCGUAUGAAUAUGGAAUGGAUGUGUUGUAGGCUGUUUUACAUUUGUAGUUUAAUACUUUACCGACCAAUAGCCGAUUAAUCGGUAAUCAAUCGCUUACCGACCGAUAUUAAUGCUCAUUAUUUGAGCAGUAAUUUGUUAUUUAGUAUUAUGGUAUCUUGCUCAGUUGCGUCAGUUGCGUUGCUUUGUAAGCUCUCACAGUUUUAUACCACUUUGAAAAACGUAUCGUUCGCGAAGAGCAAAAAGAAUGGUAUUGGAAAGUCUAAACCGAAACAGAGCCGGCGCUAGGGAGAAUCUGCGCCUGAGAUGCCGGUCGGACGUGCGUAUGUUGUUGAAUCGCCAGCGGUCGGUAAAUUGUUAAGAUUAACUUCGAUUUAAGAUAAUUGAUUGUAUCCAAAAGAUACAAUUUAUGGAUGGAAAAAUGUAUAUACAAAUAAUGUCACAAGGACGCGGUAAAAUAGCUUUUUUAAGUCGUACGUUAAUUAUAAUACUGACUUCGAGGGAGAACAAUUUUCUGAAUACAUAGAAUGUAAUUUGCUAAAUUUCUGUGAACUAACAGGCUUAGAAUUAAUCCAGCGGGAUUGAAGAAAUGAAGGGUAAUGAACUCGAAGUGAACUGAGUCUAUUUGAACAUUAUAACAUGUUGUUUCUACUUUUGUAACGAACUUCUACUUGACAAAGAAUUUCAAGGAAAUUAGUAACGAUGAUUCUAAAAAACAAACUAAAAAUUGUAAUCAAAGGUGUUUCAAACAAAAAUUGCUAGGUGUAAAGAAAUAUUAUCAAAUAGUAUCAAAAUAGUAUCAAAAAGUAUAAAAAAUUUAUCAAAUUAUAACCUAUAAUCAGAGAUGAAAUGCUAUUCUAAAGCAAGGGGAUAAAAAUGACUAUGGAUUCUUUUUAAUUAUUAUUCUCUUUAAUUAUUAUACUCUUAAUUAUUGUUGUGCUGAUUUAUUAAAAACAAUAGAACUCGCUUGGUAUGUAAAAUCUAUCUGCGACAACAUUUGUAAAACAAACAAAACAGAAAAAAACGUUAUCACUGUUAAAGGAGUGAUGUAGCUGCACAUGAGAGUAGAAAAGUCAACGGAAAAUUGGAAUCUGCGAGAGACCCACAUUAUUGUAUUUUUGAUGUAUGAUAUCGUUGAGGUUAAGUGAUAGAGGAACGAGUGGAUGAAGUGGAACAGUAAAGUAUAUUGAAACAAGUAUAGGUAUAAGUAUAGUGUAUGCUGAUGAAGAUCUGCACUCUUAUAGUGUUACAAUACAAUAAAAAGAAGAAUAAGGAGCACGUUCAUAUAUUUAUAGCAAAGGACAUUACCAAAAAGUUAACCUCUGUCACGGAUAUACAAAAGCAAAGAUGUAGAGUUUUUCUUGAAGUAAUUACUUCAACAGAAUACUAACGACUGUUUUGGUUUGCAAGUUCUAGAGGCAAACGAACUCCCAACAGAUUGUUAUUGCCGUUUCUUAUAAUCUUCAGCCGGAGUUACAUAAGAAUAUUAACUUUUUGUACUACCGUCUGUCGAUAUAAAUGGAUGAACGUGCCCCCUAGGAGAUUAUUGUUAUCCUUUAUUCGAUCGGUAUAGUAGCAUUGAGCGAGUGACGAUUAUAACUGGCGUACACUAUCUCUCGUGCUUAUACUUAUUUUUAUACCACUGACUAUUACGAAUUCGUCCAUUCGUUACGUUAUUAAUUAAAUACACCUACACGUUUAAUCCACUUCAAACGAAUUGCAACAUAAAUACAUAUUUUUUUAUAUAGAGCUAAGCUGAAUAGUUUUAAAACAUAGAUAAGCAAAUAGAAAGUAAGGAAAAAGAAAAGGUAAAGCGUUCAACUGUGCAGCAUACGUGCAACUGCCAAAUUGUAAUAUGGGAGAUAUCGUAAAUUAUGAAGAUGAAUGAUGAAGAGUACAUCUACACGUAUAUAGUAUUGAAAUUUCAAAGUGGAGAACAUCGAGGAGUACAAACAUCUUUCUAAGCGAUUUAAGUUAAAUGUUGAUUUAUUCUACGACCGUGGAAAGUCUAUUUCGCAUUUCCAAGAAGCAUCGUGUCUCAGUAGCUCUAUUUCGCGUUGUUCUGUGAUCCGCCUUCUAAAUACUCGUUCGGAGAGAAGGUAAAUUCAUUGUGUCCACUGACUUGAAAAUCCACGCAUUCUCCGCUUUAAAUCUCACGGGAGGAUACGGUAGAACUUAGGUCAGGGUCUCGGUUUACAUAACGCAGGUAAUACGCUACCAUUUCGUUAAAUAAUUUCUUUUCUCAGCGAAUAAGAUCUCGGUAGAAAUACAAGUUGACCUUACGAGUAUUUUUCAAAAAUAUACACCAACAUGCGUUCAUUGUCGUAAGGUAAUGUUUAUAAUUGUGUUAAAAGCUGUAAGAUAUUUAUCUACAAACGUUUCUGGUUUAUUUUAAGAUUAAAAUAAUAAAAUAAAUAUUUAAAAUUUAUUAAUUAAA
Molecule: long non-coding RNA, 4479 nt
Organism: Bombus impatiens (common eastern bumble bee)
Lineage: Eukaryota; Metazoa; Arthropoda; Insecta; Hymenoptera; Apidae
Exons: 2
Source: RefSeq, a predicted model, not a curated record